AGGGAUGUAGCUCAGUUGGUAGAGUAUUUGCCUUGUGUGGACAAGGCCCUGGGUUCAAUCCCCAGCACUA
Non-coding RNA from Ictidomys tridecemlineatus (thirteen-lined ground squirrel), 70 nucleotides. NCBI's taxonomy places the organism in Eukaryota, Metazoa, Chordata, Mammalia, Rodentia, Sciuridae. The record is from Rfam.